This 253-nucleotide ribosomal RNA is filed under the name uncultured bacterium. RNAcentral's name for it is "partial 16S ribosomal RNA". It matches the Rfam family "Bacterial small subunit ribosomal RNA", at positions 524 to 776 of the family's 1533-position model. The record is from RNAcentral.
UACAGAGGUCUCAAGCGUUGUUCGGAUUCAUUGGGCGUAAAGGGUGCGUAGGCGGCGCGGUAAGUCGGGUGUGAAAUCUCGGAGCUUAACUCCGAAACUGCAUUCGAUACUGCCGUGCUUGAGGACUGGAGAGGAGACUGGAAUUUACGGUGUAGCGGCGAAAUGCGUAGAUAUCAGGAGGAACACCGGUGGCGAAGGCGGCCCUCUGGACGGAUACUGACGCUGAGGCGCGAAAGCGUGGGGAGCGAACAGG